RNAcentral lists this ribosomal RNA (332 nucleotides) under uncultured prokaryote. Its description in RNAcentral is "bacterial SSU rRNA". It matches the Rfam family "Bacterial small subunit ribosomal RNA", at positions 8 to 329 of the family's 1533-position model. The record is from RNAcentral.
AGAGUUUGAUCCUGGCUCAGAUUGAACGCUGGCGGCAUGCUUUACACAUGCGAAGUCGAACGGCAGCACGGGGGCGAACCCUGGUGGCGAGUAGGCGAACGGGUGAGUAAUGCAUCGGAACGUAUCCUUGAGUGGGGGAUAACGCAGCGAAAAGUUGUGCUAAUACCGCAUAAGCUCUGAGGGAGGAAAAGCGGGGGGACCGAAAGGCCUCGCGCUGAAGGAGCGGGCCCGAUGUCCGAUUAGGCUAGUUGGUGAGGUAAAAGGCUUACCAAGGCGACGAUCGGUAGCUAGGUCUGGAGAGGAUGAUCAGCCACACUGGGACUGAGACACGG